This 123-nucleotide long non-coding RNA is filed under the name Bos indicus x Bos taurus (hybrid cattle). RNAcentral describes it as "lncRNA (ENSBIXG00005007625.1)". The record is from RNAcentral. Lineage: Eukaryota; Metazoa; Chordata; Mammalia; Artiodactyla; Bovidae.
UUUUUCCAGAAGCCCCUCUCCUGAACCCCCGCCCAGCACGGGCUCUCCUGUUCUGCUGACCGGAAGCCCAGGGGCUCCACAAAGAGCCUGCUCACCUGCACCCUGCCGGAUGCCACUUCCUGU